Molecule: ribosomal RNA, 229 nt
Filed under: uncultured bacterium
Lineage: Bacteria
Description: partial 16S ribosomal RNA
Rfam family: Bacterial small subunit ribosomal RNA
Source: RNAcentral
UGCGUAGGCGGUUUUAUAAGUCAGUGGUGAAAUACAACAGCUUAACUGUUGAGGUGCCAUUGAUACUGUAAGACUUGAGAACAGACGAGGUAGGCGGAAUUGACGGUGUAGCGGUGAAAUGCUUAGAUAUCGUCAAGAACACCGAUAGCGAAGGCAGCUUACUAGACUGUAACUGACGCUGAGGCACGAAAGCGUGGGGAUCAAACAGGAUUAGAUACCCUGGUAGUCC